RNAcentral lists this long non-coding RNA (1071 nucleotides) under Lathyrus oleraceus (garden pea). RNAcentral describes it as "Pisum sativum (pea) long non-coding RNA (PSAT_LNC018688)". Lineage: Eukaryota; Viridiplantae; Streptophyta; Magnoliopsida; Fabales; Fabaceae. The record is from RNAcentral.
AAGAAAAUAAAAAAAAGGAAAUAAUAUCCCUCUGCCUCCAAUUGUCAGGCACCACAUGGCGAUUCUUAUCCUCUCAAUGAGUGACACCCAGCUGGCAUUUAUGUGAUCAAGCGGUGCACUCCCAUUGGUUGAGAUAUUCAAUUGAAAAAAAAGAAGAAAUAAACGUUAGGAUUUGGCGGAUUGCAACAACGAUAUCAACUUUUGCUGAAAAAGAAAAAAAAACAUCUCCUGCUAUCACUCUCAAUACUCUCCCUCACAUGUUAAUCUUUCUCUCCUUUCUAUCUCAGAAUCUUUUUUCUAAAAAAAAAAACACUUCAAAAGUCUAAGACAAAAACUCAAACUCGUCUCCUUCUUCCCUUCACACCCAUAAACUUCACUUCCAUAUUAUUGAGAAUAUAUCAAGUGUGAGUAGUGUGGAUAAUAGUCCCACUACUCACACUUGUGGUAAUGUAGAGACUUGAACAUUUAUAAGUGAGAGAACUCACUCACCUAUCACCUUAAGAUUUUGGGUAAAUAUAUGGUGUGUCUCUAACAAAGAGGUUGUUCUAGAAAAGAAGUCUCUCAAUGUUCAAUGUUCCAUAGUGAAAAAAAACUCUCCCAAUUUCUGUUUGGCAUGUAUAAAUAUGGUUCUGAGUUCGAUUCGGCCAAUAAUUUAAGCAAGUUGAGUGGAUUUUCGAUGCUACAUACGACGUCAAAGUUCCAUGGAUAUGUUGAUUCGAAGAAUGUUCUAAAGCUUGUGUUGCUUUUAAGAUUUGAUUCUAUUUGAGUCAUUGUUUCGACAACGGUACCAUGUUUUUAUAUUUUAUAAUCCUUAAUGAUGUAAAUUCUAUGAUGAUGGGUUAAAUGUUGUGAUUAAAUUUCAAAAUCCAAGUUUGUUUUUAUAAUGAAUGACUUGUUGUUGAAAUAAUAGAAACAAUUUUUAUUUUAAUUUCAGUGUGUAUUUAGUUUUUGAUUCGAUUUUGUUGCGAUAUUGUUGCAUCUUUUGUUUGAGAUUCGAAUGAUAUUAUUUGGUAAAUAAUAUUGCAUUUUAUCCCGAUGUGUUGCCUGCUGCAUUUAUGUUAAAUGAUUCAA